AGACUUACCUGGCAGGGGGACACCAUGAUCAAGAAGGCGGUUCACCCAGGGUAAGGCUCCUCCAUUGCACUCCGGCCGUGCUGACCCCUGCGAAUUCUCCAAAUGUCGGAAUCUCGACUGCAUAAUUUAUGGUAGUGGGGGACUGCGUUCGCGCUCUCCCCUG
Small nuclear RNA from Cyprinus carpio carpio, 163 nucleotides. Its record names the gene U1. It matches the Rfam family "U1 spliceosomal RNA". Rfam says of the family: U1 is a small nuclear RNA (snRNA) component of the spliceosome (involved in pre-mRNA splicing). Its 5' end forms complementary base pairs with the 5' splice junction, thus defining the 5' donor site of an intron. Lineage: Eukaryota; Metazoa; Chordata; Actinopteri; Cypriniformes; Cyprinidae. The record is from Ensembl.